Molecule: long non-coding RNA, 241 nt
Filed under: Lathyrus oleraceus (garden pea)
Lineage: Eukaryota; Viridiplantae; Streptophyta; Magnoliopsida; Fabales; Fabaceae
Description: Pisum sativum (pea) long non-coding RNA (PSAT_LNC000194)
Source: RNAcentral
ACGAUUUACCGGAUUGCACUCUGAUAGUGCACUGACUUGAAUUCAACCUCAGUUUGAAUUGUUUCAACCGGUCAAACAACUUGCCCCGGUCUGCCAGAUGCCCCUCUCUUGUCUGGGACUUUGCUAUCAAGUCAUAGCAUUCGAUUUCAACUUCAUGACGAAUCAUAUCAUGAAACAAAGUCACCAUGGCUCUCUGAUAAGUAGCACUGGCGUUUCGCUUCUUUAGAGGACAAUCUCCUUU